This 508-nucleotide ribosomal RNA is filed under the name uncultured bacterium. Its description in RNAcentral is "partial 16S ribosomal RNA". It matches the Rfam family "Bacterial small subunit ribosomal RNA", at positions 28 to 507 of the family's 1533-position model. The record is from RNAcentral.
GACGAACGCUGGCGGCGUGCCUAAUACAUGCAAGUCGAACGCUUCUUUCCUCCCGAGUGCUUGCACUCAAUUGGAAAGAGGAGUGGCGGACGGGUGAGUAACACGUGGGUAACCUACCCAUCAGAGGGGGAUAACACUUGGAAACAGGUGCUAAUACCGCAUAACAGUUUAUGCCGCAUGGCAUAAGAGUGAAAGGCGCUUUCGGGUGUCGCUGAUGGAUGGACCUGCGGUGCAUUAGCUAGUUGGUGAGGUAACGGCUCACCAAGGCCACGAUGCAUAGCCGACCUGAGAGGGUGAUCGGCCACACUGGGACUGAGACACGGCCCAGACUCCUACGGGAGGCAGCAGUAGGGAAUCUUCGGCAAUGGACGAAAGUCUGACCGAGCAACGCCGCGUGAGUGAAGAAGGUUUUCGGAUCGUAAAACUCUGUUGUUAGAGAAGAACAAGGACGUUAGUAACUGAACGUCCCCUGACGGUAUCUAACCAGAAAGCCACGGCUAACUACGUG